GUCGCUGCCAAUUCAGCGACCGGGCCUGAGAACCCGCGUAAGAUGCAGGCGCACCAGCGCCCCAACCCACGAUUGCCGGCGCUUUUUU
RNAcentral lists this small RNA (88 nucleotides) under Pseudomonas fluorescens. RNAcentral describes it as "isrK". The record is from RNAcentral. Lineage: Bacteria; Pseudomonadati; Pseudomonadota; Gammaproteobacteria; Pseudomonadales; Pseudomonadaceae.